UACGUAGGGUGCGAGCGUUGUCCGGAAUUAUUGGGCGUAAAGAGCUCGUAGGCGGCCUAUUGCGUCUGCUGUGAAAGCCCGGGGCUUAACCCCGGGUCUGCAUUCGAUACUGGGCGGCUAGAGUCUGGUAGGGGGAUCUGGAAUUCCUGGUGUAGCGGUGGAAUGCGCAGAUAUCAGGAGGAACACCGGUGGCGAAGGCGGGAUCCUGGGCCAGUACUGACGCUGAGGAGCGAAAGCGUGGGGAGCAAACAGG
RNAcentral lists this ribosomal RNA (253 nucleotides) under uncultured bacterium. RNAcentral's name for it is "partial 16S ribosomal RNA". It matches the Rfam family "Bacterial small subunit ribosomal RNA", at positions 524 to 776 of the family's 1533-position model. The record is from RNAcentral.